GUGGAUGUGAUGAUUAUUUCCCCAAAUGAUCGAAUCUGAAUUAACUGAGCGCACAAUUCAGGUUUCUUCUUUUGGUGAAAUUCAAGCCAGAAAUAUAAAUAUGAUCCAU
Molecule: small nucleolar RNA, 109 nt
Filed under: Helianthus annuus (common sunflower)
Lineage: Eukaryota; Viridiplantae; Streptophyta; Magnoliopsida; Asterales; Asteraceae
Description: Small nucleolar RNA Z103
Rfam family: Small nucleolar RNA Z103
About the family: This family consists of several snoRNA Z103 sequences which are members of the C/D class of snoRNA which contain the C (UGAUGA) and D (CUGA) box motifs. This family seems to be found exclusively in plants. C/D box small nucleolar RNAs are known to act as a methylation guides for 18S ribosomal RNA.
Source: Rfam by way of RNAcentral